Molecule: ribosomal RNA, 442 nt
Filed under: Limnogonus luctuosus
Lineage: Eukaryota; Metazoa; Arthropoda; Insecta; Hemiptera; Gerridae
Description: partial 16S large subunit ribosomal RNA
Source: RNAcentral
GGUCUUUAGUUUUUAAUUUAAGAUCAGGCCUGCCCAUUGAUUUGAAAGAUUAAAAGGCUGCGGUAUUUUAACUGUACGAAGGUAGCAUAAUCAUUUGUCUUUUAAUUGGAGGCUAGAAUGAAUGGUUUGAUGAGAAAUAGACUUUCUUUUUUUAAUUUAUAUUAAUUUAAUUUUUUAGUUAAAAAGCUAAAAUUUUUUUAUAGGACGAGAAGACCCUAUAGAAGUUUACUAUAUUAAUAAUUCUUUAUUUUUUGUUGUUAAAAUAUUUUUUUAAAUUAUAUAGUUUUGUUGGGGUGACAUUAAAAUUUAUUAAACUUUUAAUUAUUUUUUCAUUAAUUUAUGUUUUUUUUGAUCCAAUAUUUAUUGAUUAUAAGUUUAACUUACCUUAGGGAUAACAGCGUAAUUUUUUCGGAGAGUUCAUAUCGAUGAAUAAAGUUUGCGA